Molecule: long non-coding RNA, 3019 nt
Filed under: Paramuricea clavata
Lineage: Eukaryota; Metazoa; Cnidaria; Anthozoa; Malacalcyonacea; Plexauridae
Source: RNAcentral
GGGACGGGUCAUUAUUUAUGGUGGGGGGUGGCACCGAAGAGAAAUGUUUUUCCUGGUAAAAAUUUUGCUGACCCAACCAUUAAAAAGCAAAAAAUUUGAUUACCCAACCUCAAAUAUCAAUUAAAAAAUAAAUACCCACCCCUGGCCAAAACCUUUACAAAAGAAUACCAUUCAGUUGUCACACAUGUCCUUUACCACUUCUGUGACACAAGUUUGAUAACUAAACUUUGUUGUUGUAUGUACAUGUACUUUCUUUGGAGACACCAUUUGUCUCCCAACAAAUCGGAAAAUGAUCAAGAUAGUGACUCUGAUUGAUUCACAUAUUGUAUUGACAUACGACUGUUGACAUUGCUUUUCAGUCUCCAAUAUUUAAGUGAGUCAUGCUUUGGAAAUGACAAUAACUUUUUAUUACCCAACCCUUGAGUUGUUUUGUUUUUCAUUUACCCAACCUUUUACUUACUCAAAAUUUAGUUUACCCAACCCUUUUCUCUUCGGUGCCACCCCCGCCAUAAAUAAUGACCGGUCCCUAAGGUUGUCCCCCGAGCAAAGCGGAAAAGUCGAAUACGAGCGCGAAAGACUGCUGGGAAUGAAUGAAUUUAUUAGCGAUUCCCAGCAGCCUUUCGCGCUCGUAUUCGACUUUUCCGCUUUGCUCGNNNNNNNNNNNNNNNNNNNNGUGUGACAUCAGCAUAAUAAAACAGAUUGUCAAAAUGGCGUGGCAUAUCCAUACAUGGGCACAACACGCCAUUUUCACGUCGUCUUUGACGUCCGCGUCCUCGAUCUAAGGGACCGGUCAUUAUUUAUGGUGGGGGGUGGCACCGAAGAGAAAUGUUUUUCCUGGUAAAAAUUUUGCUGACCCAACCAUUAAAAAGCAAAACAUUUGAUUACCCAACCUCAAAUAUCAAUUAAAAAAUAAAUACCCACCCCUGGCCAAAACCUUUACAAAAGAAUACCAUUCAGUUGUCACACAUGUCCUUUACCACUUCUGUGACACAAGUUUGAUAACUAAACUUUCUGGUUGUAUGUACAUGUACUUUCUUUGGAGACACCAUUUGUUUCCCAACAAAUCGGAAAAUGAUCAAGAUAGUGACUCUGAUUGAUUCACAUAUUGUAUUGACCGUGAUGACUGUUGACAUUGCUUUUCAGUCUCCAAUAUUUAAGUGAGUCAUGCUUUGGAAAUGACAAUAACUUUUUAUUACCCAACCCUUGAGUUGUUUUGUUUUUCAUUUACCCAACCUUUUACUUACUCAAAAUUUAGUUUACCCAACCCUUUUCUCUUCGGUGCCACCCCCGCCAUAAAUAAUUACCGGUCCCUAAAUCUGUCUGUCUAAAUGUUUCAAUCACGAAAACCGAGGCUCUACGGCCAAGAUGACGUACUUUCCGGAAGCGUGUACUGUAUUUAAUGUUAAUGUAUUCGCGCGGCGUAAUUUUAGUGUGGUCUCUUAAAAGAAAACUACAUUGCACAACACAUUCAAAUGCCUGCAAUGGCUGUCUUUCAGUUUUAUUUUAACGCAACAAGUACUCCAUUUUGAACCCAAACCAGUCGUGCUAUCGCAGUCAGCGCAAAUUUAAUUUAUGCUUUUUAGUUGUAAGUAGGAUUUUAACUAGCAUUCGUACUUUUUAUUUGUAGAGUUUUUUAAUAGCUGCUUAUUUCAUUUUUGCGUGAUUUAAAUAACAAGCCAGAGGUCGUUAGCGCCGCGCAGCCCCUUAUCGCUGCUUAGGUUGAGAAUAGGAUAUUGUGGCUAAGGUUUAUUGUUUUUGAAAAUUUAUGUAUUCUUGGGUUUUUCUCCGGGCUCUCCGGUUUCCCUCUUGCACGAAAAACUAACCUUUCCACCAUUGCACGAAAUGCGAAUGGAUGCGAAAAAUGGCAAAAUGCGAAAAUUAACAAAUGAAUUAACACGUGCAGUAAAGAUCAGUUAGGCUUCGAACGAAACGAAUUUGCUUUGCCUCUCAUCAUUCAACUCUAAACCCUUUCAUAAAUUAAAUCAGUUUUAAUUAAUUACUUGUAAUGGCAUUGAUCAAUGAUAUAAUUUUAAGUUGUUAUAUUUAAGAUAUAUAACCUAAUUAUUGUGUAAUCACUGUAAACAUUUCGGGUAGUUCCUCGGGUAGAGGAGAAGUGAUCACGUGAUCGGCUAGUUGUGUUGUUUGUGGCGUCAGAUAUAACCAAAUCCCUAUCUCUAAGCCUAAUCCUUACCCUCACCCUAACCCUAACCCUUACCCUAACCUCAAAACUAAUCGCUAUAACUAACUGAUGACGUAGUCUGUGAUGCAAAUUCUUCUACCCGAGGAUGUAACCAACAUUUUCCCAAUGACAUCUAUACUUAUUUGUAUAUUUGUAAUUUUGAUGUAAUUUUAAUAAUUGGAAUUUGUAAAGCUAGUUUACACUAGAUAAAUUUGUUUAUGAUCACAGUAGCUUCACUGAACUUUGACUCCAAGACCCGUGUCUUGAAGAGCUUUACACUGUCAUAUACUUUGAUCAAAACAUACUUCAGUAUGUUAGCAUUCAGAAUUCAAAUACAUCUUAGGGGCGGACCCUUUGAAAAGUGAUGGAGGAGGGGAGCAAAAAAAUUUGCGCAAAGGAAACCGAAAGAAAAAAGGGGGAGAGCAAAGAAUAGUACAUUUAAAGUUCCGCCGCAAAAACGUACAGCGCAAGCAGACGGCCGAAAAAAAUUCGUGCACCCGCUGAAAAUACCCCCCCCCCCCCCCUCCUUUCAUCAGUUUUCAAAUGAUCGGCUCCGAAUGAGAAUUAAGUAUUAUAAUGAACAUUUAAUAUGUAUCAUAUGUGUAAUAAUGUAUCAAUUAUAUAAGUAGUCUAGAAACUUGCGUGUAUCUAUAAUUUAUUGGUUAUAUAAUCAUUCACAAUUAGCCCACUUUCUUACGCCGCCAUUUCGGGGGUACUUUUUUGCCAAUCCUGCGAGCGUAAGGCCACAUAAAAUAAAUUCCUAAAAAAUAAAAGAGACGGGAGGUUUAUAUUUUAUAUUUUACAUUUAUAUAAUUUAAUAUAUAUCAAUAAAUAAAAGUG